Molecule: ribosomal RNA, 433 nt
Filed under: uncultured bacterium
Lineage: Bacteria
Description: partial 16S ribosomal RNA
Rfam family: Bacterial small subunit ribosomal RNA
Source: RNAcentral
AACGAACGCUGGCGGCAUGCCUAACACAUGCAAGUCGAACGAGACCUCCGGGACUGGUGGCGCUCGGGUGCGGAACGCGGGGGAACCUGCCCUUAGGUACGGAAUACUUCCCUGAAAGGGGGGCUAAUACCGGAAAAUGUCUUCGGACAAAGGAUUUAUCGCGUUUGGGUGGGCCCGCGUUGGUUUAGCCGGUUGGUAGGGUAAAAGCCUACCAAGGCGACGAUCCAUAGCUGGUCUGAGAGGCUGAUCAGCCACACUGGGGCUAAGACACGGCCCAGACUCCUACGGAAGGCGGCAGAGGGUAAUAUUGGACAAUGGGCGAAAGCCUGAUCCAGCAAGGCCGGGUGAGUGAUGAAGGCCGUAGGGUUGUAAAGCUCUUUUACCCGGGAUGAUAAUGACAGUACCGGGAGAAUAAGCACCGGCUAACUCCGUG